GUGGGGAAUAUUGGACAAUGGGCGAAAGCCUGAUCCAGCCAUGCCGCGUGUGUGAAGAAGGUCUUCGGAUUGUAAAGCACUUUAAGUUGGGAGGAAGGGCAGUAAGUUAAUACCUUGCUGUUUUGACGUUACCGACAGAAUAAGCACCGGCUAACUCUGUGCCAGCAGCCGCGGUAAUACAGAGGGUGCAAGCGUUAAUCGGAAUUACUGGGCGUAAAGCGCGCGUAGGUGGUUUUGUAAGUUGGAGGUGAAAUCCCCGGGCUCAACCUGGGAACUGCCUCCAAAACUACUGGGCUAGAGUACGGUAGAGGGUAGUUGAAUUUCCUGUGUAGCGGUGAAAUGCGUAGAUAUAGGAAGGAACACCAGUGGCGAAGGCGACUACCUGGACUGAUACUGACACUGAGGUGCGAAAGCGUGGGGAGCAAACAGGAUUAGAUACCCUAGUAGUCC
RNAcentral lists this ribosomal RNA (450 nucleotides) under uncultured bacterium. Its description in RNAcentral is "partial 16S ribosomal RNA". It matches the Rfam family "Bacterial small subunit ribosomal RNA", at positions 354 to 796 of the family's 1533-position model. The record is from RNAcentral.